RNAcentral lists this ribosomal RNA (253 nucleotides) under uncultured bacterium. RNAcentral describes it as "partial 16S ribosomal RNA". It matches the Rfam family "Bacterial small subunit ribosomal RNA", at positions 524 to 776 of the family's 1533-position model. The record is from RNAcentral.
UACGUAGGGUGCGAGCGUUAAUCGGAAUUACUGGGCGUAAAGCGUGCGCAGGCGGCUUCGCAAGUCAGACGUGAAAUCCCCGGGCUUAACCUGGGAAUGGCGUUUGAAACUACUGAGCUGGAGUAUGGCAGAGGGGGGUGGAAUUCCACGUGUAGCGGUGAAAUGCGUAGAUAUCAGGAGGAACACCGGUGGCGAAGGCGGUGCUCUGGGCCAGUACUGACGCUGAGGAGCGAAAGCGUGGGUAGCAAACAGG